GUGCUCCGUUCGGCAGCACAUAUAAUACUAAAAUAGGGAUACAGAGAAGAUUAGCGUGGCCCCUGAGCAAGGAUGACACACAAAUUUGUGAAGGAUUCCAUAUUUAA
Mustela putorius furo (domestic ferret) is the source of this 107-nucleotide small nuclear RNA. The record is from Ensembl. NCBI's taxonomy places the organism in Eukaryota, Metazoa, Chordata, Mammalia, Carnivora, Mustelidae.